RNAcentral lists this ribosomal RNA (497 nucleotides) under uncultured bacterium. Its description in RNAcentral is "partial 16S ribosomal RNA". It matches the Rfam family "Bacterial small subunit ribosomal RNA", at positions 28 to 507 of the family's 1533-position model. The record is from RNAcentral.
GAUGAACGCUGGCGGCGUGCCUAAUACAUGCAAGUCGAGCUAACAGACGAGGAGCUUGCUCCUCUGACGUUAGCGGCGGACGGGUGAGUAACACGUGGAUAACCUACCUAUAAGACUGGGAUAACUUCGGGAAACCGGAGCUAAUACCGGAUAAUAUAUUGAACCGCAUGGUUCAAUAGUGAAAGACGGUUUUGCUGUCACUUAUAGAUUGAUCCGCGCCGCAUUAGCUAGUUGGUAAGGUAACGGCUUACCAAGGCAACGAUGCGUAGCCGACCUGAGAGGGUGAUCGGCAACACUGGAACUGAGACACGGUCCAGACUCCUACGGGAGGCAGCAGUAGGGAAUCUUCCGCAAUGGGCGAAAGCCUGACGGAGCAACGCCGCGUGAGUGAUGAAGGUCUUCGGAUCGUAAAACUCUGUUAUUAGGGAAGAACAAAUGUGUAAGUAACUAUGCGCGUCUUGACGGUACCUAAUCAGAAAGCCACGGCUAACUACGUG